This 54-nucleotide ribosomal RNA is filed under the name Caulerpa racemosa f. occidentalis. RNAcentral describes it as "partial 28S ribosomal RNA". Lineage: Eukaryota; Viridiplantae; Chlorophyta; Ulvophyceae; Bryopsidales; Caulerpaceae. The record is from RNAcentral.
CAGGAAACCGGUUAAUUAAGCUACAUAACGGAGGAAAGAACCAUUUGGAUGCCC